This 432-nucleotide ribosomal RNA is filed under the name uncultured bacterium. RNAcentral's name for it is "partial 16S ribosomal RNA". It matches the Rfam family "Bacterial small subunit ribosomal RNA", at positions 29 to 507 of the family's 1533-position model. The record is from RNAcentral.
AGCGAACGCUGGCGGCAGGCCUAACACAUGCAAGUCGAACGAACUCUUCGGGGUUAGUGGCGGACGGGUGAGGAACACGUGGGAACGUGCCCUUUGGUUCGGAAUAACUCACGGAAACUUGUGCUAAUACCAAAUGUGCCCUUCGGGGAAAGAUUUAUCGCCAUUAGAGCGGCCCGCGUCUGAUUAGCUAGUUGGUGAGGUAACGGCUCGCCAAUGCGACGAUCAGUAGCUGGUCUGAGAGGAUGACCAGCCACACCGGGACUGAGACACGGCCCAGACUCGUACGGGAGGGAGCAGUGGGGAACCUUGCGCAAUGGGCGAAAGCCUGACGCAGCCAUGCCGCGUGAAUGAUGAAGGUCUUAGGAUUGUAAAAUUCUUUCACCGGGGACGAUAAUGACGGUACCCGGAGAAGAAGCCCCGGCUAACUUCGUG